UACGUAGGGACCGAGCGUUGUCCGGAUUCAUUGGGCGUAAAGAGCUCGUAGGCGGCUGCUCAAGUCGAAUGUGAAAACUCGAGGCUCAACCUCGAGCCUGCAUUCGAUACUGGGCGGCUAGAGUCUGGUAGGGGGAUCUGGAAUUCCUGGUGUAGCGGUGGAAUGCGCAGAUAUCAGGAGGAACACCGGUGGCGAAGGCGGGAUCCUGGGCCAGUACUGACGCUGAGGAGCGAAAGCGUGGGGAGCAAACAGGAUUAGAAACCCCCGUAGUCC
This 273-nucleotide ribosomal RNA is filed under the name uncultured bacterium. RNAcentral's name for it is "partial 16S ribosomal RNA". It matches the Rfam family "Bacterial small subunit ribosomal RNA", at positions 524 to 796 of the family's 1533-position model. The record is from RNAcentral.